UCAGCAUAAGUACGUCCAUUUGGCGGCAGUCAUGAUAUCAGCUCCAUGAGCUUCAAGCUGAUUCAGUAUGUUCUCGAACAUCAAUAUGGGUGACUCUCGCCGUUUGUUCCCUGGAAUUCCCUCCAAAAUGAUAUUACUCCACAUAAUAUAUCUUAUUUCUCAGGCGCACGGAUUCCUGAUACUGAAUGAAGAGGACGUGGUGAUUCUACCCCAUAUUUACGCCCCCUUAAGCCCACUUCUGUGCCACCAAGCAAGAGCUAUGAUGAAUUACUAGAUAAACUGACAGUCGUAGAAACUAACCGAAAAGCUGCCUUGAAGAAGGCAGUAGGUGAGGCCACUAGGUAUAAAAACAACGUUACGCUUAAAUUUCUGGAGGCUACAAAGCAGGGGGAUGAGGCACUCGUGAACAUACGGCAAUUUUUUGAUGCUGGGAGGAUCUAUUUCGACUUCGGGAGAGGAAAAUAUAAGUUUGAGCACGAGCAAAUUGAUGCAUUCAAGAAAACCGCACUCUUGCGAGAGAAGGACUACUUCAGUAAUCAAGUGGAUAAGGUAUCCACUACCCAUGCUACUAUAGAGUCUGAAAAGAGGGAUCUACCUAAAGAGGAGCUGGGCAAACUGCAACCACUGUUCGACACCUUCGAUCAGAGUUACGAAGCUCUGAAUCCACUAGUGACACAAUUUCUUAUCAAUAUGAAAGAGGACAUAAAAUUGAGACCCGGGUAAUAUUGGGUACUCCGUUUCGAUCCAUGACAAAAAAAAUCAAUGUACACUUUUAUCAAGACCUAUUUUUAAUCAAGAUUCCACCAUAUAAAACCAACAUUUUCAACCAAAAUUUUCGUAUCAAUAUAGAAGAGGACCAAAAAUAAAACCCGGGUGAUGUUGGGUAGUCACAUUGCGAUUUAUGACCAGAAAUAUGAAUGUACAGUUCUAUAAAGACCUAUUUUUUUUACCAAGAUCCCGCAAUAUAAAACCAACAUUUUAAAUAAAGAUUGCGCCCUACGGGCUAUAAUAUUUGCAGUCCGAAAUCGAAAAAUUAUUUUAGAAAUCGAGUAAAAACUCACUUGCCUCAUUCUAAUUGAAUGUUACUGUAAUUUCUGCGUAUAAAAGACUAACAAAUAUACGAGUAUACUUUUCUUUAUAAAAAAAAAGGUACUGUCUUCAUUUAUGAUUUUCCUCGGUUAAAGUAUCCAUAUAGUCUACGACAAAAUGUCCGAGGGGUGAAGGAAUUCCAAUGACGGAGGCGGGUGGUUGUAAUGGGUCAGUUGCGCUGGUCACAGAAUCGUAUUUUGAUGUUCAGUUCUUGUAGAUCAGCUAUAAAUAGUAACAAGCUGGUUUUUGCAAUCGCAGUGCGAUAGCAAUACUCGGCAUGGGAACUUGAGAAAUGUUUGAUAAAUCACUUAGCAUUGGGUAUACCAUUUGGACGUAUUUAUGCGAAAAGGAGAUAUGUGCAAGUGGAAAGAUGGGGUGUCCUCGUUAGUUGGGUCAUAAGAAACAAUGUAAAAGUGGAUAUAGUUCCUUUUGAGAAAAUUGAAAAGCGAGAUUUUCAAUUAAAUCAAAAGGAGCUAAGCGCCAAAAUAUGUUAACUCAUGAGCCGUGGGCAUGCGGCAAGAGCCUUGUGGACAGGGCUCAUGAGUUAAUGCGGACGCACGCGGACCGGGGCGACCGAGGCAGGCGGCUUUGUUGCCGCUGACCUCACUGGCGCUUUUUAUUUCCCAUUCAUUUUUGGCCCGACGACUAACGAGCACACCCCAUCUUUCCACUUCCACAUAUUUCCUUUUCGCAUAAAUACGUCCAUUUUUAUGAUGGAUACCUGUAGGAUUGAACGGGUCAAAAAAAUACCAAAAAUAAAUGAGUGUAGCCAAAAGUGAUAACUUGCCGAGGGACCAAAAAUGUGAAGCGUGAUGACAGAAAAUAUGAUGAGAAAAGAUAGAGAGAGUUGAAUGCAAAAAGAGAGAAGAGAGGAGUUUGGAUGAGGAUAAAUGAGAGACAAGUGAAAAAAGCCACGGCGAGCCCAAAUUGCCUUGGCUUGGAAAUCUUUGAGGUGAGUAAGAAAAGAUUCGAAAGGAGACUAAUUUUUAGUGAUCAGAAGGAUCCUAUUCUAGAUGAUUUAGUUAUACCUGGCUCAGAGUGAGCCGGCUACUAUCCUUGGAAAGGGACCUGAAGGGCCACCAGGCACGUAGUGUGCCGGCUUCUGCUUACAAUUAGCGCAGGAAAGUCAGAAGGACUUGCAAUUUUGAAUACCACUCUGUGCUAUUGCACUUAUUUUUAUUCCGGAUUCAUAAAUGAAUCGGCUUCUCCGAAUGGAGGAUUUUAGACAAACAUGAAUUUAGGCUUGAUCGGACGGCGCAGCACUUGGAAAUGAAUUCUUGGAGCGCAGCGUCCCAGUAUUUAUACCGGUCGCGUGAGAGAGCGAUGCCGCGAGCUUGGCUGUGAUUGGUCAACGCGGGCGCUGUGUGAGGAAUUGGCGGGAGCACCGCUAUGCGAGUUUGAACUUGGCGGGCGCUGUGAGAGAGUAAGUUUGAAUUACGCGCCCGCGCGCGGCUCGUGAUUGGUGCGCUGCCUCGCGUUCAUUCUGAGGCUGGGGCCAAUGGAAUUCAGCGGAGCUUAUUGCUCCCGGGUUCAUCACUGUGAUUGGAUUCCUGAAGAUUAUUAUUUUGUAGGUGAAACCGAACAAUACCUAUUGGGAUCUGCUUUUGAUUUAGCAAAAGUCAAACAUUUACCUAUGGCUGAUAAAAUUGCAGAAGUUGUUCCUUUUCUGCGGCAUGACGGCGAUUUUUUUUAUUUUCUUCUGUUAUUUAUUUUUUUCUAUUUUUCAAAGCUUCAUUGAUUUACUGUUCCGAUCUGAUGAUACCACUUUAUUGUCAAAGCAAAAACGCGAGGAACCUCUGAGGGAAGACAAACUGCUGUACUGCCAGUAUUUUUAAUAAUUUGACUUAAUUUUUAUUUAAUAGUAUUGCUGUAUCGACUUUGCAUGUACAUUGUCAUUCAAAGUUUGUUGAACUGUUUUCCGUUUGACGCUAUUUUUAGGAAGUCAUUGUUUUUUUUUUUAUUUUGAAAGAAAUCUGGGCCUUAUCAUAAAGUAUUUGAAUUUUCUUGUCUUUCUUUCUUUCCUUUUUCAUUUUUCGUAUUUAAUUUUUUCGGAUGUGUGUUUGUGUCA
This 3157-nucleotide long non-coding RNA is filed under the name Bemisia tabaci. RNAcentral's name for it is "lncRNA ENSSSA1NGG012585". The record is from RNAcentral. Lineage: Eukaryota; Metazoa; Arthropoda; Insecta; Hemiptera; Aleyrodidae.